CCACCAUUGAUUAACGAUAAAUUUCAUAAUUGUUUCAUGCGACCUUUCCAUAAGUAGAGCGUGUGGGUGUGUGUGUGUGUGUGCUUGUGUUCCUGCAUUAAUGUAUCUGUACAUGUGUGUAUAUUAUGUGUAUGUAUGUGCAUAUAUAUAUCACCAUGAUCACCGUGACCGACCAGGCUAUCAGAUGUUGUUACACAUCGCUGGUCACAAUGUGCUUCGCAUUGUUUUAGCCUUCAAUGACACUACCCUGCUGGCUAAGCGAGCAGGCCAAUAUAUAUACAUAUAUAUAUAUAUACAUAUAUAUAUAUAUCAUGCCCCAGUAUGGCCACAGUUAAAUGGCUGAAACAAGUAAAAGCUAAAAGAUAAAAAAUAUAUAUAUAUGUGUACAAACAUAUCAUCAUGAUCAUGAUAAUCAUCACUUAACGUCCCUUUUUCCAUGCUGGCAUGGGUUGGAUGGUUCAACAUAAACUAAGCUGCAGGGCCAUACUGAGCCCCAGUGUCUUAAUCCUAACCACUCCACAGAAUAUACUGGGCUUUUUAUUUGUAGCCCCUGCACUAUUGAGGUCAUCAAGUACCCACCAGACAAAACCCCUUCAAUUGAGUGGGGUAUAUAUGCAUGUUUGUAUAUAAAAGGGUCAUGAAUGACCAUGUGAUUGCCCCUAGAAAGUUCCCUCCGUGGCACAAGUCCAGGCAUUGUUCUUUAUGGAAGACCUGUCGUCGCCCAUGUGUACCAACCUCCCUUCUCUACGCCACCGAUGUUUUCCCAGGGAAAGGCAAAGAGGCCGACACAGUUUGGCACCAGUGAUGUCGCAACUCAUUUCUACAGCUGAGUGAACUGGAGCAAUGUGAAAUAAAGUGUCUUGCUCAAGAACACAACACAGAGUCCCGUUUGGGAAUCAAACUCAUUACCUCAUGAUUGUGAGCCCAACGAUCUAACCACUGAGCCAUGCGCCAUCACUUUUAGAAGAAAAGGGGUGACAGUGACUUCGAAGUGUCACCCUACUAGCCUUUCUCAGUCUGACAGAGGCUAAUAGACUAAAACUUCAAAGUCACUGUCAACCUGCUGCUUGUAAAUGUUUAAUAAAUAUGCAUGCUACUGAAAAGAGGAUGGACUAUUCGGUUUAAUGUAAAACUGUUUUUGUUUAUAAUCGUGACGUAUAUUUGCCAUUUGAAUAUGGCUAACCCCUAAGGGUGGAUGCUACUGUAGUUUGUAGCCCCAGGAAGACACCUCCUCCAGCUGGCUAUGAGAUUUAUCAAUGUUUUGUUUAUAACUUAACACAAAAACAAACAUUAAUAAAAAUAGUUAGACGCAUGUAUGUCUGUGUUUGUGUGUGUGUGUGUCUGUAUAUAUAUAUAUAUAUAUAUAUAUAUAUAUACACAUACACACACACACAUAGAUAGAUAAAUGAUAAGAAAUUUUAAAUGGCGUUUUCUACCAUUUUCUAUCAUUUAUUUAUAUAAACAUUGCAAAUGCUAUGGAUUUCCUGUUGUAUGUCCUGAGCAAGAGCUUUUCCACUGUAUGAUGACGUCAAGUAGCCAAUAACUGGGAAUGAGCUUUGCACGAGAUUCUACAACAUUUUUACCAGAAUCUUAUUUAACUAUAUAUAUCUAUAUCUAUAUAUAUAUAUAUAUAUAUAUAUAUAUAUAUAGUAAAAAUCAUGUAAAAAGCACCUUCCAAGCACUGGGCCUCACAGGGUCACAAUGACAAAUAACUAAGACCUUUGACAAUAUGCUGUGCUUGAGAUGAAGACCCAUGAAGCCAAGUGAAAUAAAUAGCCGUGGCAGAUAUUGGUGUGAUGCAUAGUGACACCCAUGCCGGUGGCAUGUAAAAGCUCCUAUCACACUCUCGGAGUGGUUGGCAUUAGGAAGGGCACCCAGCUGUAGAAACCAUGCCAAAUCAGACACUAGAAGCUGGUGCAGCCCCUCAGCUUACCAGGCCUGACCAAACCGUCCAACCCAUGCCAGCAGGGACAACAGAUGCUAAAUUAUGAUGAUAUAUAAGUGUGUGUGUACGUGUGUGUAUGUGGAAUAUCAUUGCUAGAAUGUUGCCAUGCCCACCUCUCACUAAAUCCUGUUCAUGAUUAAACAUGUGCGUGUUGUUGUGCAUCUGACGUUCUUUUACAGAACAGAACUUUUUUCAGGGCUCCAACAACAGUUUUCUUGUAAAUGUGUAGUGGUGGUGGUAGUGGUGGUGGUGGUGGUGGUGGUGGUGGUGGUGGUGUUGGGUGUAGUUGAUGGUUAUGUAGGUAUGUGUAUAUGUCAUGGGGAGAGAGGUUGCAUUUAUGCUACAUAUGUGUGUGUGUGUGUGUGUGUAUAUAUAUAUAUCGGUCAAAUGCAUGUCAGGUAAGGCAGCAUAUAUAAAUACAUACGCAUGCAUAUACACACAUGCUAAUAUGCAUAUAUGCAGAGAUAGACAUUAUUGAUAUUAUGUAUGUAUAUAUAUAUAUAUAUAUAUACACACACACACACACACACACAUAUGUAUAUGUAUAUAUAUAUGUACAUAUAUAAAACUAUACGUAUAUACUAUAUACAUGCAUACAUAUAUAUAUAUAUAUAUACACAUGCACAUUCGUAUGCAUAUGUAUAUAUUAUUUUGUGUGUGUGCGUGUGUCUGUGUGUACGUAUACAUACAAAUGCAUUUAGAUAGCAUAUUUCCUUAGAUAUCAUUGUAUACAUAUAAAUGUAUAAUUAUACAAUUCUAUACAUAUAUUUGAAUGUUUGUAUGUAUGAGUGAAAGAAAAAGAGAGAGAAUUGGAUGACCUUUUUCUGUGCAAUAAUGCUUGCAUGUUUCAGUUGAGUUCUUCAAAUUUUUGUGUUGGGUGUAGAAUCCUAAAUACUUCUUCCCUAUCUGAACAUGUGGCUCCUGAAAUCUGUCAACAUUCCACUCAGGUUUCUGCUUAGAAAAACCAAACGAUGGUGAAAGGUUGGGGCAGGGAUCUCCGGGACCCGAUAAUUUAGUGGGGCCCUACUGAUGCCCUCAUUUUCUUGGCCUAUUGAGUCGACUCCCUCGUGGGAUCAGCUUGGUAUUUUAGUGUUGCAAGAUCAAGGCUACCGUAAUUUGUACACUUGGGGCCUGAAUUCAAGGAAAUAUCUUAAGAUCCCAAUCUGUAUUUCUGGGAUGAUUACAGUGUAGCCACUAGUAUCCGUGGGCAUUGGGUUACUCUUUUUUUACUUUACUCUUUUACUUGUUUCAGUCAUUUGACUGCGGCCAUGCUGGAGCACCGCCUCUAGUCAAGCAACUCGACCCCGGGACUUAUUCUUUUUGUAAGCCCAGUACUUAUUCUAUUGGUCUCUUUUUGUCGAACCGCUAAGUUACGGGGACGUAAACACACCAGCAUCGGUUGUCAAGCAAUGCUAGGGGGACAAACACAGACACACAAACAUAUACACACUUAUAUAUAUAUACAUACAUACGACAGGCUUCUUUCAGUUUCCGUCUACCAAAUCCACUCACAAGGCUUUGGUCGGCCCAAAGCUAGAGUAGAAGACACUUGCCCAAGGUGCCACGCACACAAACACAACACCUACGCACACCCAUAAGUGUAUAAGGAGCUAAAAGAACACACCCCUGAUAUGUGCCCCUUUCUUCUGUCCUUAAUGUUAUCCAGUUACUCUCCCCCACUUACCCCUAGCCCUAUCUUACCCCUACCCCAUUCCAUCUCACAAACACUACAAAUUUCAAGUUUUGUUUUUAUUUUUCGAUAUCUAAUUUCACCUCAUUAAAAUUUUAAUUAAGUUCCUUAAAUUUGAAUAAAAACUUAAAACUGUGUCACCACCCACUCUCCUGUUAACGAAGGGGUUGUUUCUGUAAUUAGAUCACCUCCAUGCAUGGAUCCUCUGUCUGCUAGAAAUAGAAGUUAAAUCCUCCUCACAAAUCACACCACCCCAGGGACUUUUCAGCACUUUUUAUUUCUAUUUCUAAAAAAUAGAAAAGGUUGCACUGAAUGCUGUAAAUACAAUAUUGAAAAUACAAUAUUCGAGUGUUGGUCAUGGCUGGAAUGCUUUUGAUCAUAUACCUGCUGCACAGAGCUAUCUCAAGGCUAAAUCAACAACUGCAACAGUUGCGUAAUUGCAGUGUGCAGCAAUUUAUCUUUCUAUUUUGGGAAUGUUUUUUUAACAACGCUGCAUCUGCUCCAAAUUGAAAAAUAUGUAAACACCUUCCGCGCUCGUUGAUGUGGGUACAUGCAUGCGUGCAUGCAAGCAUGUGUGUGUGCGUGUGUGUGUAUGCGUAUGUGUGCACGUGUGUGUGUGUGUGUGUAUACAUAUGCGCAUACAUAUAUAUAAGUAUAUACAUGUUUAUAGAUGUAUAUGCACAUAGCGAUAUCUCUCUCAGUCUCUCCCCAUGUAUGUAUAUGUGUGUGUAUAUAUAUAUAUAUAUAUAUAUAUAUAUAUAUAUAUAAACACAUACACACACAGAUAUGUGUGUGCAUGUCUGUUUGUGUGUGUGUGUGUAUAUAUAUAUAUAUAUAUACACAUAUAUAUAUACACAUAUAUAUAUGUGUGUAUGUAUGUAUAUAUAUAUAUGGCGGGGGGUAUUAUUUUUAGCUCUUAUUUCUAGCUGUGUAAGUGUUUUUUAACACCCUAAUCACAUUUAGUAACAAUUAUAUUUCUCCAUUUUGGGGUAACUUUGCAAACUGCUAUUUACAUUAAUAAUUUCUGUUAGCUACUUAUGACGUUAUAUCAUAUAACGUUUUUUUAAACAAUAUUUUAAUAGCGUUCUCUCAAUCGCUAUACAAAUCCAUCAUUUUUUGCUAAAAUAUUCUUAUUGACGAGUUUCUUUUUUUUUUUCACUUUCCUGAAGAGAAGAUUGCAUUGUUUAUACCAUUUAUUCUUUUGAAUAGUAUCAGUGGAAUUUUCGAAACAUGUGUCGGAAGUAAAAAUAUUUGAUUUACACCUGCGUUAAACUCCAUUUAUUUAUUCAUAUAUAUAUAUAUAUAUAAAUCAAUAAAUGGUGGGGUUGUAUUGACAGUGAGAUACUUUUAUAGGUUAAUAGGAGUAAAGAGAGAAAGGCCUAAAAUACAAACAGCUAUGUGGAUGGACGAUAUGCAUUUAAUAUUGAGAGUGUUCAACUGUGCAAGUAAGGGAGACAAUUCCAGUCAUGUUCCAUUCAUUCUUUCCAAGAUCUCUUCUAAGAAACACAGAAUUAUUAACAAUAAUCCACCCACUCAGUCUCCUCACUCCAUGCUGCUUACAUUUAUCCGAAGGGAAGGUCGCUAAUAUGGACCAUUACAGAUUAGCACCAAGGUCAUCAUAGGUGUUAUUGUCGAAAUCCCAAGAGCUGCAACAAAUGUACCCCAAGGAAUCUUGCUAGUCCUUCUAACAGUUCUGCCUAUUUGCAGUUCUUGAUCAUUAGCUAUUUCUGUUGUGUUUUAUUUUUUGUUUUUUCAUUAUGUAUGGACCCUGAAAGGAUGAAACGUCAAGUUGAUUUGGCAAGAUUUGAACUCAGAUUUGUAGAGGGUUGGAAUUACUUAUGCAAGACAUUCUGCCUGACUGUUUAACAACACUGUACACACACACACACAGACACACACACACACACACACACACACACACACACACAAUGGCCUUGCACACAGUUCCAUCUACCAAAGUUACUCUAUAGAAGAUUGUUAUCCAAGAUGUAGCACAGUCGGACUGAACCUUGAAACCCAUGGUUGUAAAGCAGACAGCCAUGCUUAUGCCUAUUGAUAUAUAUAUAUAUUAUAUGUAUGUAUAUAUAUAUAUAUGUGUGUGUGUGUGUGUGUGUGUGUGUG
Molecule: long non-coding RNA, 5756 nt
Filed under: Octopus vulgaris (common octopus)
Lineage: Eukaryota; Metazoa; Mollusca; Cephalopoda; Octopoda; Octopodidae
Source: RNAcentral